This 253-nucleotide ribosomal RNA is filed under the name uncultured bacterium. Its description in RNAcentral is "partial 16S ribosomal RNA". It matches the Rfam family "Bacterial small subunit ribosomal RNA", at positions 524 to 776 of the family's 1533-position model. The record is from RNAcentral.
UACGGGGGGGGUAAGCGUUGUUCGGAAUUACUGGGCGUAAAGGGCUCGUAGGCGGCCAACUAAGUCAUACGUGAAAUCCCUCAGCUUAACUGGGGAACUGCGUGUGAUACUGGAUGGCUUGGAUUUGGGAGAGGGAUGCGGAAUUCCAGGUGUAGCGGUGAAAUGCGUAGAUAUCUGGAGGAACACCGGUGGCGAAGGCGGCGUCCUGGACCAACACUGACACUGAUGAGCGAAAGCCAGGGGAGCAAACGGG